RNAcentral lists this microRNA precursor (184 nucleotides) under Oryza glumipatula. Its description in RNAcentral is "MIR812 microRNA precursor family". It matches the Rfam family "MIR812 microRNA precursor family". The record is from Rfam by way of RNAcentral. Lineage: Eukaryota; Viridiplantae; Streptophyta; Magnoliopsida; Poales; Poaceae.
AAUAAAUUGAUUUGUGGGUUUCCGUAUCCAACCUUUGACUGUUCAUCUUAUAUGAAAUUUUUUUAUGAUUAAUAUUUUUAUUGUUACUAGAUAAUAAAACAUAAAUAAUACUUUAUGCGUGACUUAUUUUUUUAUUUUUUUAUAAUUUUUUAAAUGAAAUAGACGGUCAAAGGUUAUACAUAAA